ACUCUGGAGAGUCCCUGACAGACAGGGCGCCGAAGGUGUACGGCAGGAAACUGCCAAUCUCUCAGGCAAAAGGACAGAGCAUU
Molecule: non-coding RNA, 83 nt
Filed under: pig gut metagenome
Description: Glycine riboswitch
Rfam family: Glycine riboswitch aptamer
About the family: This family represents the bacterial glycine riboswitch. Glycine riboswitches usually consist of two metabolite-binding aptamers domains with similar structures in tandem. The aptamers cooperatively bind glycine to regulate the expression of downstream genes.
Source: RNAcentral